GACGAACGCUGGCGGCGUGCCUAAUACAUGCAAGUCGAACGCUGAAGCGCUGCGCUUACUCUUCUUGGAUGAGUUGCGAACGGGUGAGUAACGCGUAUGUACCCUGCCUUGUAGCGGGGGAUAACUAUUGGAAACGAUAGCUAAUACCGCAUAACAUUGGAUUACACAUGUCGUUUAGUUGAAAGUCGCAAUUGCUCCACUACAUGAUGGACCUGCGUUGUAUUAGCUAGUAGGUGAGGUACUGGCUCACCUAGGCGACGAUACAUUGCCGACCUGAGCGGGUGGGCGGCCACCCUGGGAGUGUGACCCGGCCCAGACUCCCUCGGGAGGCGGCCGGAGGGAAACUUGGGGAAUGGGGGGAACACUGACCGAGCAACGCCGCGUGAGUGAGGAAGGAUUUCGGAUCCGAAAGCUCGGUUGUAAGUCAAGAACGGGUGUGAGAGUGGAAAGAUCACACUGUGACGGUAGCUUACCAGAAAGCGACGGCUAACUACGUG
RNAcentral lists this ribosomal RNA (497 nucleotides) under uncultured bacterium. Its description in RNAcentral is "partial 16S ribosomal RNA". It matches the Rfam family "Bacterial small subunit ribosomal RNA", at positions 28 to 507 of the family's 1533-position model. The record is from RNAcentral.